Molecule: small nuclear RNA, 132 nt
Filed under: Mesocricetus auratus (golden hamster)
Lineage: Eukaryota; Metazoa; Chordata; Mammalia; Rodentia; Cricetidae
Description: U1 spliceosomal RNA (ENSMAUG00000002923.1)
Rfam family: U1 spliceosomal RNA
About the family: U1 is a small nuclear RNA (snRNA) component of the spliceosome (involved in pre-mRNA splicing). Its 5' end forms complementary base pairs with the 5' splice junction, thus defining the 5' donor site of an intron.
Source: RNAcentral
AUAUUUAUCUGGGGAAGAGAUGCCGGGGUUUUCCCAGGGUGAGGCUCAUCCAUUGCAUCUGGGUUUGCUGGACCCAGUGUGAGAAACUCGACCUCGUAAUUUGGGAUAGUGGGGGACGGCAUUCGUCCUUUU